Molecule: ribosomal RNA, 903 nt
Filed under: uncultured bacterium
Lineage: Bacteria
Description: bacterial SSU rRNA
Rfam family: Bacterial small subunit ribosomal RNA
Source: RNAcentral
AGAGUUUGAUCCUGGCUCAGAAUCAACGCUGGCGGCGUGCCUAACACAUGCAAGUCGAACGAGAAAGUGGGGGCAACCCUGCGAGUACAGUGGCAGACGGGUGAGUAACACGUGAACAACCUACCCUCGAGUGGGGAAUAACACCGCGAAAGCGGUGCUAAUACCGCAUAACAUCCCUGGAGCGCAUGUUUCGGGGAUCAAAAGCGCAAGUUGCUUGAGGAGGGGUUCGCGCCUGAUUAGCUAGUUGGUGAGGUAACGGCCCACCAAGGCGACGAUCAGUAGCCGGCCUGAGAGGGCGAACGGCCACACUGGAACUGAGACACGGUCCAGACUCCUACGGGAGGCAGCAGUGGGGAAUUUUGCGCAAUGGGCGAAAGCCUGACGCAGCAACGCCGCGUGGAGGAUGAAGGCCUUCGGGUCGUAAACUCCUGUCAGGGGGGACGAAUGCCUUAACGGGCUUGACUGUACCCCUUGAGGAAGCCACGGCUAACUCCGUGCCAGCAGCCGCGGUAAUACGGAGGUGGCAAGCGUUGUUCGGAAUUACUGGGCGUAAAGGGCGCGUAGGCGGCUUGGCAAGUCAGAUGUGAAAGCCCCGGGCUUAACUCGGGAAUUGCAUCUGAAACUGCUUUGCUUGAGUCCUGGAGGGGGUAGUGGAAUUCCCAGUGUAGCGGUGAAAUGCGUAGAUAUUGGGAGGAACACCUGUGGCGAAGGCGGCUACCUGGACAGUGACUGACGCUGAUGCGCGAAAGCUAGGGGAGCAAACGGGAUUAGAUACCCCGGUAGUCCACGCUGUAAACGAUGGGCACUAGGUAUUCCCGAUUUAUUGGGGGUGCCGCAGCUAACGCAUUAAGUGCCCCACCUGGGGAGUACGGCCGCAAGGCUAAAACUCAAAGGAAUUGACGG